AUUUUCUCUCUCUUCUCUUUCUGAAAGUUCAAAUAGAUGAUUGUUAGAUCCCACUCUGUCCUUCCUAUGCCUUAAUCUCUAUUUUGUUUUCUAUUAGUUCCCUCUUCAGCUAUAUGUCUUUUUUUUUUAAUUAAUAGAUUUGUUUGUUUGUUUGUUUGAGACAGGGUCUUGCACUGCUGCCUAGGCUAGAGUGCAGUGGUGCAAUCAGGGCUCACUGCAGCCUCACUCAACUUCCCAGUCUCAAGCCAUCCUCCUACCUCAGCCUCUGUUCCACUAAUCUACUUGUCAAUUUUUCCAGCAACACCACACCCUCCUGAUCACCAUAGCUUUAUGUUUCUUACAGCAACAACAAGAAACAAAUUUAUUAGCUAACCUAACCACUAAUGACGCAAGAGACAAUUCUAAGGACUUUCAAAACAGCAAAGUAGGAGCAGCUGCUACCUCUAGGGAUGAGGGAUGCAAUUGUCCAAUUAUUGGUGAAAUUGUCAUUUCAUGCUAUUGGCUAUUUGAAAUUCCUCCUCUAAUUUCAGAAUAAAUCACUGAAAUUGACAUCGGCCAGUCUGAAUUUCAAGAAAUUACCUGCUGAAGACAAGAGGGAUCUCUUCUUCAGAUUUGCAGUCUGGGGAAGACACAGCCUCUACUGUACUUUAGAACCUGAGAUAUGGUGGUGGAGGGAGCCCUGGGUCGAGUGGUAAGAUUCACCCUUAGGUCAGAGCUCCGGACUCCAGCCCCAUGCAACUUCAAAAUAUGACAAAUGUCUUGAAGGGGAGAUUGGCAUGCAGAUGAGGAAGGCCCUCUCGCCAACACAUUUGUAUUUCCUCUGUACUGUGAGACUGUGGGAGAUUUACUGCGACAUUUAGAAGCUUUCUUCCAAACUCCUGGGCCUCCGACACUGGUUCUAAACUCAGCAAAUGUUCUUUGGGAAAAACAGACAGUGCAUGUGAGGCCCCUCGAGUUUGGAAUUUAUGUCUCCAGCUUCACAUGGUCUCUCAAGUGCUUAUGCUUUUCUUCUCUCUGCCACCCACAUUCCCACAUCCCGCCCACCCCCCAACUUUCCUCCCUUCACCUUCCCAUGGAGACUUUUUGCCUGGGCUAAAUCUGAUCCUCAGCCCACUCUCAGAAUCGAUAAAUGCCCCUAGGUGAUUGUAAGCUCACCUAAGAUAUACUUUUUCUCCUCUAGAAUUUUAGUUUAUUAGAUUUUUCUAGUUGUCUUUGCAAAAGCGUUAACAGGCUCUGACUUCUGACAUUCAACUAGAUGUGGAAUAUCCAACCCCUAGCAUUUCAUGGAAUGUACUGACCAAGAUAAAAUGUGUUCUUAUUAAACAAUGCCAUUUCUUGACCACUUCUGUUUUUAGGAAUUGUGGUAUCUGAGUCAUGGUGAUUAGAAGUACUAAUGAAAUAAAUGGGAAAAUUAAACUUCUACUAACAUUUCAUAUAGUAGGGAGAUGUCUGUGAAGAAUUAUAACUGGUACAGAUUUUGUGUUUAUAAACAAGGAGACAGAAAAUGCAGAAAAUAAAAAAUAUUUUAUUUAGUUU
RNAcentral lists this long non-coding RNA (1536 nucleotides) under Homo sapiens (human). Its description in RNAcentral is "long intergenic non-protein coding RNA 470". Lineage: Eukaryota; Metazoa; Chordata; Mammalia; Primates; Hominidae. The record is from RNAcentral.